AAUUGACGGGACCGCACAAGCGGUGGAUGAUGUGGUUUAAUUCGAUGCAACGCGAAAAACCUUACCACCUUUGACAUGUACGGAAGUUGCCAGAGAUGGCUUCGUGCUCGAAAGAGAGCCGUAACACAGGUGCUGCAUGGCUGUCGUCAGCUCGUGUCGUGAGAUGUUGGGUUAAGUCCCGCAACGAGCGCAACCCUUGUCAUUAGUUGCUACGAAAGGGCACUCUAAUGAGACUGCCGGUGACAAACCGGAGGAAGGUGGGGAUGACGUCAAGUCCUCAUGGCCCUUAUAGGUGGGGCUACACACGUCAUACAAUGGCUGGUACAAAGGGUUGCCAACCCGCGAGGGGGAGCCAAUCCCAUAAAGCCAGUCGUAGUCCGGAUCGCAGUCUGCAACUCGACUGCGUGAAGUCGGAAUCGCUAGUAAUCGUGGAUCAGCAUGUCACGGUGAAUACGUUCCCGGGUCUU
RNAcentral lists this ribosomal RNA (467 nucleotides) under uncultured Hydrogenophaga sp. RNAcentral describes it as "bacterial SSU rRNA". It matches the Rfam family "Bacterial small subunit ribosomal RNA", at positions 908 to 1382 of the family's 1533-position model. Lineage: Bacteria; Pseudomonadati; Pseudomonadota; Betaproteobacteria; Burkholderiales; Comamonadaceae. The record is from RNAcentral.